Molecule: ribosomal RNA, 524 nt
Filed under: uncultured bacterium
Lineage: Bacteria
Description: bacterial SSU rRNA
Rfam family: Bacterial small subunit ribosomal RNA
Source: RNAcentral
AAUAGAUACCCUGGUAGUCCACGCCGUAAACGAUGUCGACUUGGAGGUUGUGCCCUUGAGGCGUGGCUUCCGGAGCUAACGCGUUAAGUCGACCGCCUGGGGAGUACGGCCGCAAGGUUAAAACUCAAAUGAAUUGACGGGGGCCCGCACAAGCGGUGGAGCAUGUGGUUUAAUUCGAUGCAACGCGAAGAACCUUACCUACUCUUGACAUCCAGAGAACUUAGCAGAGAUGCUUUGGUGCCUUCGGGAACUCUGAGACAGGUGCUGCAUGGCUGUCGUCAGCUCGUGUUGUGAAAUGUUGGGUUAAGUCCCGCAACGAGCGCAACCCUUAUCCUUUGUUGCCAGCGGUUAGGCCGGGAACUCAAAGGAGACUGCCAGUGAUAAACUGGAAGAAGGUGGGGAUGACGUCAAGUCAUCAUGGCCCUUACGAGUAGGGCUACACACGUGCUACAAUGGCAUAUACAAAGAGAAGCGACCUCGCGAGAGCAAGCGGACCUCAUAAAGUAUGUCGUAGUCCGGAUUGG